This 433-nucleotide ribosomal RNA is filed under the name uncultured bacterium. RNAcentral describes it as "partial 16S ribosomal RNA". It matches the Rfam family "Bacterial small subunit ribosomal RNA", at positions 29 to 507 of the family's 1533-position model. The record is from RNAcentral.
AACGAACGCUGGCGGCAUGCCUAACACAUGCAAGUCGAACGAGACCUUCGGGUCUAGUGGCGCACGGGUGCGUAACGCGUGGGAACCUGCCCUUAGGUUCGGAAUAACUCCCCGAAAGGGGUGCUAAUACCGGAUAAUGUCUUCGGACCAAAGAUUUAUCGCCUUUGGAUGGGCCCGCGUUGGAUUAGCUAGUUGGUAGGGUAAAAGCCUACCAAGGCGACGAUCCAUAGCUGGUCUGAGAGGAUGAUCAGCCACACUGGGACUGGGACACGGCCCAGACUCCUACGGGAGGAAGCAGUGGGGAAUAUUGGACAAUGGGCGAAAGCCUGAUCCAUCAAUGCCGCGUGAGUGAUGAAGGCCUUAGGGUUGUAAAGCUCUUUUACCCGGGAUGAUAAUGACAGUACCGGGAGAAUAAGCUCCGGCUAACUCCGUG